This 775-nucleotide ribosomal RNA is filed under the name uncultured Neocallimastigales. RNAcentral describes it as "partial large subunit ribosomal RNA". It matches the Rfam family "Eukaryotic large subunit ribosomal RNA", at positions 20 to 644 of the family's 3401-position model. The record is from RNAcentral. Lineage: Eukaryota; Fungi; Neocallimastigomycota; Neocallimastigomycetes; Neocallimastigales.
UACUAGAGUAGCACUCGCAUAUCAAUAAGCGGAGGAAAAGAAACUAACAAGGAUUCCCCUAGUAACGGCGAGUGAAGCGGGAAGAGCUCAAAUUUGAAAUCUUAAAGGGUUUCCCUUUACGAAUUGUAGUUUAAAGAAGUGUUUUCUGUUGAGGUUUUGGUAAAAGUUCUUUGGAAUAGGACAUCAUAGAGGGUGAGAAUCCCGUAUUUGACCUUUACUUUCAACUUUGUGAUACACCUUUCAAAGAGUCGGAUUGUUUGGGAAUGCAGUCCAAAAUGGGUGGUAAAUUUCAUCUAAAGCUAAAUAUUGGCGAGAGACCGAUAGCGAACAAGUACCGUGAGGGAAAGAUGAAAAGAACUUUGAAAAGAGAGUUAAACAGUACGUGAAAUUGUCAAAAGGGAAGCGUUUGACACCAGUGUUGUUUUUCUGAAAAUCAAUUAAAGAACUGUUUAUGCUAAGCUGUUUAGACUUUAUCAGCUAUCUGUUUAGUUUUAGGCUUUUCUUUAAUGCACUUUUCAGUUAACAAGUCAACAUCAAUUUCUUUCGCUGUAAAAAAGCUUGAGGAAGGUGGCUUGAGAUUCGUCUUAAGUGUUUAUAGCCUCUUGCCUAUGCAGUCGGAGAGAUUGAGGUCUGCAGCGUAGAUCCUUCGGGGCUAAAUGCAUUUGUGCUAAGUUAUAGCAUUUUAUAGACAACUUGUUGACUAUGAUUUGUCUUGUAGCUUACUCGCUUAUGUUAUUUUACCUACGCUUAGGAUGUUGAACUACUGAGACAUAGA